This 253-nucleotide ribosomal RNA is filed under the name uncultured bacterium. Its description in RNAcentral is "partial 16S ribosomal RNA". It matches the Rfam family "Bacterial small subunit ribosomal RNA", at positions 524 to 776 of the family's 1533-position model. The record is from RNAcentral.
UACGGAGGGUGCAAGCGUUAAUCGGAAUUACUGGGCGUAAAGCGCACGCAGGCGGCUGAGUCAGUCGAUUGUGAAAGCCCUGGGCUUAACCUGGGAAUUGCAGUCGAUACUACUCAGCUAGAGUAUGGGAGAGGGUAGUGGAAUUCCCGGUGUAGCGGUGAAAUGCGUAGAUAUCGGGAGGAACAUCAGUGGCGAAGGCGGCUACCUGGCCCAAUACUGACACUCAGGUGCGACAGCGUGGGGAGCAAACAGG